RNAcentral lists this ribosomal RNA (468 nucleotides) under uncultured bacterium. Its description in RNAcentral is "partial 16S ribosomal RNA". It matches the Rfam family "Bacterial small subunit ribosomal RNA", at positions 28 to 507 of the family's 1533-position model. The record is from RNAcentral.
GACGAACGCUGGCGGCGUGCUUAACACAUGCAAGUCGAACGGAAAGGCCCUGCUUUUGUGGGGUGCUCGAGUGGCGAACGGGUGAGUAACACGUGAGUAACCUGCCCUCGACUUUGGGAUAACUUCAGGAAACUGGGGCUAAUACCGGAUAGGAGCUCCUGCUGCAUGGUGGGGGUUGGAAAGUUUCGGCGGUUGGGGAUGGACUAGCGGCUUAUCAGCUUGUUGGUGGGGUAGUGGCUUACAAAGGCUUUGACGGGUAGCCGGCCUGAGAGGGUGACCGGCCACAUUGGGACUGAGAUACGGCCCAGACUCCUACGGGAGGCAGCAGUGGGGAAUAUUGCACAAUGGGCGGAAGCCUGAUGCAGCAACGCCGCGUGCGGGAUGACGGCCUUCGGGUUGUAAACCGCUUUCGCCUGUGACGAAGCGUGAGUGACGGUAAUGGGUAAAGAAGCACCGGCUAACUACGUG